AUGCAAGUCGAACGGUAACAUUUCUAGCUUGCUAGAAGAUGACGAGUGGCGGACGGGUGAGUAAUGCUUGGGAACUUGCCUUUGCGAGGGGGAUAACAGUUGGAAACGACUGCUAAUACCGCAUAAUGUCUUCGGACCAAACGGGGCUUCGGCUCCGGCGCAAAGAGAGGCCCAAGUGAGAUUAGCUAGUUGGUAAGGUAACGGCUUACCAAGGCGACGAUCUCUAGCUGUUCUGAGAGGAAGAUCAGCCACACUGGGACUGAGACGCGGCCCAGACUCCUACGGGAGGCAGCAGUGGGGAAUAUUGCACAAUGGGGGAAACCCUGAUGCAGCCAUGCCGCGUGUGUGAAGAAGGCCUUCGGGUUGUAAAGCACUUUCAGUUGUGAGGAAAAGUUAGUAGUUAAUACCUGCUAGCCGUGACGUUAACAACAGAAGAAGCACCGGCUAACUCCGUGCCAGCAGCCGCGGUAAUACGGAGGGUGCGAGCGUUAAUCGGAAUUACUGGGCGUAAAGCGCACGCAGGCGGUUUGUUAAGCUAGAUGUGAAAGCCCCGGGCUCAACCUGGGAUGGUCAUUUAGAACUGGCAGACUA
This 591-nucleotide ribosomal RNA is filed under the name uncultured bacterium. Its description in RNAcentral is "bacterial SSU rRNA". It matches the Rfam family "Bacterial small subunit ribosomal RNA", at positions 55 to 643 of the family's 1533-position model. The record is from RNAcentral.